UACGUAGGGGGCAAGCGUUGUCCGGAUUUACUGGGUGUAAAGGGCGCGCAGGCGGGAUAAAAAGUCAGUGGUGAAAUCCUACAGCUUAACUGUAGAACUGCCUUUGAUACUUUUAUUCUUGAGUUCGGGAGAGAGAGACGGAAGUCCAGGUGUAGUGGUGAAAUACGUAGAUAUCUGGAAGAACACCAGUUGCGAAGGCGGUCUCUUGGUCCGAUACUGACGCUGAGACACGAAAGCGUGGGGAGCAAACAGG
This 253-nucleotide ribosomal RNA is filed under the name uncultured bacterium. RNAcentral's name for it is "partial 16S ribosomal RNA". It matches the Rfam family "Bacterial small subunit ribosomal RNA", at positions 524 to 776 of the family's 1533-position model. The record is from RNAcentral.